This 265-nucleotide long non-coding RNA is filed under the name Mytilus galloprovincialis (Mediterranean mussel). The record is from RNAcentral. Lineage: Eukaryota; Metazoa; Mollusca; Bivalvia; Mytilida; Mytilidae.
CUCAUAUGAUAAAUUGAUUAAAUAUGAAAGGCUGUAUGACCAAAUUUCUGUUUACAAAUAUCUGGCCGGGUGGGCACUAGGUAUAUAUUAUACUAAAGGAAAGUAUGAUAGUCCCAGCAAAUAUUAAUUAGUGAAGAUUGUUGACCCAUCAGGUAAUCCAAUUACAUGCAAUAACAAAUUAUGACACCUGUUGUGACUGUUGAUUAGCAUAGGGUCUUAAACUUGUCAUUAUAUGUCCCCACGUAAAAUUAAACAUUCAUUUGAA